Long non-coding RNA from Lycium barbarum (goji berry), 791 nucleotides. RefSeq lists it as uncharacterized. The record is from RefSeq and is a predicted model, not a curated record. NCBI's taxonomy places the organism in Eukaryota, Viridiplantae, Streptophyta, Magnoliopsida, Solanales, Solanaceae. The transcript is spliced from 3 exons.
CGUCCCCAUUUCCCUUUGCACGAUCACACACACAUCAUUCUCUACACAAACACACACACAUAUGAGCAACACGCAUGCACAACACACAAAUGCAAUUUUUUUUUUCUUUUUCAUUUGUUGCCUUUUUUCCUUCCGAUCUUUUUACUUAACCUAUGUUUAAAAGCCAAGCUUUUAUAGAGUUGUUUACUAUUCAAAAAUCUCCAAUUUAUUGUUGAUUUAUGUUGUAGAAAUUGAAGAAGACUUCUUCAAAAGGCCGGUUUGUCAACGUAGCUAUAGAAAUGGAGAAAUAAGAUCAUGAUGGAAGAAGGAGAUGUGCAAGAUUAGAGCAGAAAAUUGAUCGAACGGGUUUAUAGAUUUCUUGCCACCUUUGAAGGUGCUUUUGGUUUUGGAGGAACAAUGAAACAUGCAAGCCUGAUCAGUGCGAUGAAUACAUGAAACAAUUAUUUGUUCAAUGUGAAUUUACAAAGAGGGUAUGGCUAAACUGGUGGUAUUGCUUCACAAACAAAAUGUAUGAGCUGCAAAUUGGGAGCAGUAUUUGCAAUGUUCCAUCAGUUGUGUUUGGAUUGAGAAAAACUUUAGAAUUUUGAAAAAAAAAAAGAGUAGACAUUGGGAAUGUAUAGCAAAAGAGAUAGUUUAUGUUUGAGCCUCACCAAGUAUAAGAACCCAAAUGCAAAGACUUAGGUUCUAGGUGAGAAGUUACGAUAUGAGGUUUUCUAAUCUUUCGUUGGUGCUCUAUUUUAGAUAGUUGGCUUUGAUGGCCUUGCUAUGGAUUUGUAACUAAUCCAAUGGUG